This 215-nucleotide long non-coding RNA is filed under the name Elaeis guineensis (African oil palm). RNAcentral describes it as "long non-coding RNA (EGUI_LNC035823)". Lineage: Eukaryota; Viridiplantae; Streptophyta; Magnoliopsida; Arecales; Arecaceae. The record is from RNAcentral.
CUGUGGGUAAUCGAGAAGUGUGGCAUAGUUCGAUAGAUCCCUGAGCAAUAGCAACACACCGAGAGGAGCCGACAGAGAGCAGAAGUAUAGGGGUUCUUCAAACAGACUGUUAGGCAGUGGACAAUGAUCGUUUCAAGGAUUCAAGUUAUCUUUUAGAGAGAAAGCUUUUAUGAGGGAGAGCUUCUUAUUGAGAGAGAGGGAUUGGUGAAUGAGGG